AAAUAAUUUUAUUUAUGUUAAAAAAUUUAAUAAAAUAAAAUUUUACAUAUAAAAAUUUUUGAAAAAUUUUAUUUUUUUUAAAAUAAAAAAUAAAUAAAAAUUUAUAUAUUUUUUUAAUAGUAGUAAUUAAUAUUAUUAAUUUAAUAAAUGUUAAAUUGUAGUUAUUAUUUUAUAAUAAUGAUUAAAUUUGUGCCAGCAGUCGCGGUUACACAAAUAUUAUAAUUAAAUUUUUUUAAUAAAAGUUAAGAAAAAAAAAAUAAAAAAAAAGAAUAAUAAAUUUUUAAGUGAAAUUUAAAUUUUAUUUAAAAUUUUUAUUUAAAGAUUUUUGAAGCUUAAAAAAUUUAAUUUUUAAACUAGGAUUAGAUACCCUAUUAUUUAAAUUGUUAAUAAAAAAUAUUUAGGUAGUAAUAAUUAAUUUUUUAAAACUUAAAAAAUUUGGCGGUAUUUUAUUCUGUUUAGAGGAACUUGUUCUGUAAUUGAUAAUCCACGAAUAUUUUACUUUUUUUUGUUUUCAGUUUAUAUAUCGUUGUCAUAAGAAUAUUUUAAUAGAAUAAAAAAUUUUCAAAAUUUUAAAUUAAAAAAUAUGUCAAAUCAAGGUGUAGUUUAUGAAAAAGUAGAAAUGAGUUACAAUAAAAUUUAUUUAAAUGAAUAAUUUUUUGAAAUAAAAAAUUUGAAGGUGGAUUUAAAAGUAAAUUAAUUUAUAAAGAUUAAUUGAUUAUAGUUUUAAAAUAUGCACAUAUCGCCCGUCGCUCUCGUUAUAAAAUUUUUAAAUGAGAUAAGUCGUAACAUAGUAGAUAUACUGGAAAGUGUAUCUAGAAAUAC
This 822-nucleotide non-coding RNA is filed under the name Nilodorum tainanus. The record is from RNAcentral. Lineage: Eukaryota; Metazoa; Arthropoda; Insecta; Diptera; Chironomidae.